This 390-nucleotide ribosomal RNA is filed under the name uncultured bacterium. Its description in RNAcentral is "bacterial SSU rRNA". It matches the Rfam family "Bacterial small subunit ribosomal RNA", at positions 29 to 424 of the family's 1533-position model. The record is from RNAcentral.
AUUGAACGCUGGCGGCAUGCCUUACACAUGCAAGUCGAACGGUAACGCGGGGCAACCUGGCGACGAGUGGCGAACGGGUGAGUAAUGCAUCGGAACGUACCCAGUAGUGGGGGAUAGCCCGGCGAAAGCCGGAUUAAUACCGCAUACGACCUAAGGGUGAAAGCGGGGGACCGUAAGGCCUCGCGCUAUUGGAGCGGCCGAUGUCAGAUUAGGUAGUUGGUGGGGUAAAGGCCUACCAAGCCUUCGAUCUGUAGCUGGUCUGAGAGGACGACCAGCCACACUGGGACUGAGACACGGCCCAGACUCCUACGGGAGGCAGCAGUGGGGAAUUUUGGACAAUGGGCGAAAGCCUGAUCCAGCCAUGCCGCGUGCGGGAAGAAGGCCUCGGUU